GUCAUAAGCCCUCUGCAUGAAAGACGAAUAGAUUGCACAGAAAGGUUUAAUGCCUUCACAAGCCAAUCCAGCAGCAAAGGUUACUGCAUGUUGUUCUGCUAUUCCAACAUCAAAACACCUUGUUGGGAAGCGACGAUGGAAAAGGUUCAUUCCGGUCCCACCCCCCAUGGCAGCAUGGAUUGCAACAAUGUCUUUAUCUGCUUCUGCUUCUGCAAUUAAAGCCUCGGCAAAAUAUGUUGUAUAGGACUGUGUCUUGGCACUGGCUUUGAAUUGCUUUCCUGUUGCUGGAUCAAACUUGGCAACUCCAUGAUACUUAUCUGCAGCUCUCUCAGCAUAUGGAUAACCUCUGCCUUUCUCAGUGACAACAUGGAUCAGUACUGGACCUGUUGUUUUAGUACUUCUAACCUCUUUGAGAAUCGCAAUUAGAUCAUCAAUGUUGUGACCAUCCACAGGACCAAUAUAGUAAAGUCCAAGUUCUUCAAACAAUGUUGAUCCAGAACCACUAAUCAUGCCACGAGCAUAUUCAUCAACUUUUGCAGCAAGCUCAUGCAUAGGACCACCAAUCUGCUUAGUAACUCCCUUUGCGACUUCUCUUAGUUCUCUGAGAGGCCUAUUAGACUGUAACCUGCUCAAAGCACUACUUAGAGCUCCAACAGGAGCAACUGGCCCAUCCAGAGUAGCAGUAGGUAAAGAAACUUGUCUAUUGUCGUUUAAGAUAACAAUCAUGAAUAAUGCUGGUUACCUGGACUCUGA
RNAcentral lists this unclassified non-coding RNA (753 nucleotides) under Hevea brasiliensis (rubber tree). The record is from RNAcentral. Lineage: Eukaryota; Viridiplantae; Streptophyta; Magnoliopsida; Malpighiales; Euphorbiaceae.